This 801-nucleotide ribosomal RNA is filed under the name Staphylococcus aureus. RNAcentral's name for it is "partial 23S ribosomal RNA". It matches the Rfam family "Bacterial large subunit ribosomal RNA", at positions 1628 to 2428 of the family's 2925-position model. Lineage: Bacteria; Bacillati; Bacillota; Bacilli; Caryophanales; Staphylococcaceae. The record is from RNAcentral.
UAGAAAAUAGGUGCCCGUACCGCAAACCGACACAGGUAGUCAAGAUGAGAAUUCUAAGGUGAGCGAGCGAACUCUCGUUAAGGAACUCGGCAAAAUGACCCCGUAACUUCGGGAGAAGGGGUGCUCUUUAGGGUUAACGCCCAGAAGAGCCGCAGUGAAUAGGCCCAAGCGACUGUUUAUCAAAAACACAGGUCUCUGCUAAACCGUAAGGUGAUGUAUAGGGGCUGACGCCUGCCCGGUGCUGGAAGGUUAAGAGGAGUGGUUAGCUUCUGCGAAGCUACGAAUCGAAGCCCCAGUAAACGGCGGCCGUAACUAUAACGGUCCUAAGGUAGCGAAAUUCCUUGUCGGGUAAGUUCCGACCCGCACGAAAGGCGUAACGAUUUGGGCACUGUCUCAACGAGAGACUCGGUGAAAUCAUAGUACCUGUGAAGAUGCAGGUUACCCGCGACAGGACGGAAAGACCCCGUGGAGCUUUACUGUAGCCUGAUAUUGAAAUUCGGCACAGCUUGUACAGGAUAGGUAGGAGCCUUUGAAACGUGAGCGCUAGCUUACGUGGAGGCGCUGGUGGGAUACUACCCUAGCUGUGUUGGCUUUCUAACCCGCACCACUUAUCGUGGUGGGAGACAGUGUCAGGCGGGCAGUUUGACUGGGGCGGUCGCCUCCUAAAAGGUAACGGAGGCGCUCAAAGGUUCCCUCAGAAUGGUUGGAAAUCAUUCAUAGAGUGUAAAGGCAUAAGGGAGCUUGACUGCGAGACCUACAAGUCGAGCAGGGUCGAAAGACGGACUUAGUGAUCCGGUGGUU